GAAAGCCUGAUCCAGCCAUGCCGCGUGUGUGAAGAAGGCUUUCGGGUUGUAAAGCACUUUCAGCGAGGAAGAARGCCUCUGGGUUAAUACCCCAGAGGAAGGACAUCACUCGCAGAAGAAGCACCGGCUAACUCCGUGCCAGCAGCCGCGGUAAUACGGAGGGUGCGAGCGUUAAUCGGAAUUACUGGGCGUAAAGCGCGCGUAGGUGGCUUGGCACGCCGGUUGUGAAAGCCCCGGGCUCAACCUGGGAACKGCAUCCGGAACGGCCAGGCUAGAGUGCAGGAGAGGAAGGUAGAAUUCCCGGUGUAGCGGUGAAAUGCGUAGAGAUCGGGAGGAAUACCAGUGGCGAAGGCGGCCUUCUGGCCUGACACUGACACUGAGGUGCGAAAGCGUGGGUAGCAAACAGGAUUAGAUACCCUGGUAGUCCACGCCGUAAACGAUGUCGACUAGCCGUUGGGACCUUUAAGGACUUAGUGGCGCAGUUAACGCGAUAAGUCGACCGCCUGGGGAGUACGGCCGCAAGGUUAAAACUCAAAUGAAUUGACGGGGGCCCGCACAAGCGGUGGAGCAUGUGGUUUAAUUCGAUGCAACGCGAAGAACUUACCUACCCUUGACAUCCAGAGA
Molecule: ribosomal RNA, 624 nt
Filed under: Salinicola sp.
Lineage: Bacteria; Pseudomonadati; Pseudomonadota; Gammaproteobacteria; Oceanospirillales; Halomonadaceae
Description: bacterial SSU rRNA
Rfam family: Bacterial small subunit ribosomal RNA
Source: RNAcentral